UUUCCGUAGGUGGACCUGCGGAAGGAUCAUUACAGAGUUCAUGCCCGAAAGGGUAGACCUCCCACCCUUGUGUAUUAUUACUUUGGUGCUUUGGCGAACGCAAGCUCGCCAGAGAAUACCAAAACUCUUUUUAUUAAUGUCGUAUGAGUACUAUAUAAUAGUUAAAACUUUCAACAACGGAUCUCUUGGUUCUG
Molecule: unclassified non-coding RNA, 194 nt
Filed under: plant metagenome
Description: partial contains small subunit ribosomal RNA, internal transcribed spacer 1, and 5.8S ribosomal RNA
Source: RNAcentral